This 440-nucleotide ribosomal RNA is filed under the name uncultured bacterium. Its description in RNAcentral is "bacterial SSU rRNA". It matches the Rfam family "Bacterial small subunit ribosomal RNA", at positions 338 to 775 of the family's 1533-position model. The record is from RNAcentral.
CCUACGGGAGGCUGCAGUAAGGAAUAUUGGUCAAUGGACGCAAGUCUGAACCAGCCAUGCCGCGUGAAGGAUGAAGGUCCUCUGGAUUGUAAACUUCUUUUAUCUGGGACGAAACCCCCUGAAUCUUCAGGGACUGACGGUACCAGAGGAAUCAGCACCGGCUAACUCCGUGCCAGCAGCCGCGGUAAUACGGAGGGUGCAAGCGUUAUCCGGAUUCACUGGGUUUAAAGGGUGCGUAGGCGGGCCGGUAAGUCAGUGGUGAAAUCCUGGGGCUUAACCCCAGAACUGCCGUUGAUACUAUCGGUCUUGAAUGUUGUGGAGGUGAGCGGAAUAUGUCAUGUAGCGGUGAAAUGCAUAGAGAUGACAUAGAACACCAAUUGCGAAGGCAGCUCACUACGCAAAUAUUGACGCUGAGGCACGAAAGCGUGGGGAUCAAACAG